UGGGGGCUAUGAUUCAUUUAGUUAACAAUAGAGUCCACUGCCCUUUUCUACUCAGUUUUUCAUUUGUCUCCGAUAGGUCAUUGUCUAACUUGUGUAAAUCUUUCCAUUGCUUCUUGAAUUAUUGUUGAAUAUUUGGGAAGCGUAUUUUUUUGUUUUAUAAGGAGAAAAAAAGCCGAUUGCAAUCACUUCCAAAUAACACUUAACUCCUUGACACAAGGUCAGCAAGAGGGUUCGUGCAUGUGUGUGUGUGCGUGUGUGUUUUCUUUCUAAUCUGUGAGCUGUUCCCUGAGAGACAUAUUGAGAACUGGGGCUUGUCUGCUGACAUGUUUUACACAGCUGAUCCAUUAGGAUCCUGCUCUUCCUAGCCUCCCUGGCACCGCUUUGAUCAGCGACAUGUUGAAAAAAAAAAAAAGGGGGAAAGAAAAAAAAAAUAAAAGGCACUUCUCUGAUCAGGAAUCCCUCCCCUCCACUAAAUCAUCCCGGGCACUUUAAAGCUAUAGGAACCACCGAGGGACCGCUCAGCUCUGUGAGGCUUCACGACAGCUCUGCACUAAAACAUCCAGACACGAGACCAUAACGCCUUCUGCCCAUUGGCCUUUUCUGCGCAGCUCCAUGGUUAACCUCUUCCCUGCCCGCUGGGAGACACAGCCUCUGCUGCCAUGUCUGCAUCCCAAUGGGAUGCUCCUGAGGGGUCUGUGCCUGGCACUCCAGCAGAGAAAUGCCAGCAUCACUUCACCACCCCAAACACUUGAGAAAAGUUGUAUGGGAGAAAAUGUGACUGUAGCUAUAAGCUUGCAUUGUAUCUCAGCCUAACAGCCAUGGACAUGGAUAUUUGGGGUGAGUUGUGGACGGUGUACAGAUGGUCAGUGAUGCUCUACCUGCAUGGGAGCAUCCUCUGACCACACAUAGGGAAUACAGCAGAGGCUAUGGCCAGGCCCAUCCCAUAACCCCCACUCCACAUACUCUCACAGACAGAUGGGCCUUUACCAAAUGCUGGGUGAACCUCUGUGCUUUAAUCCCAGAAGCCAGUGUGUGGACUUCCCAGCUCCCAUGGCACUGGGAAGAACCCAGAUGCAGAAGCAGUCAGGGACUGCUGGCAGACAUAAUUUCUUUGCUUUUUUGUCAAACCCUGUAUGACAGAGCAUAUUUUGUAGCUGAUUGACACCACUUCAGACGAUUAGACUAAAAAGACACCUUUGGUGCUUGCAGAAGGCACAUACGGAGAAAUGAACAAAGCCCACAGAAAAGGUAGGAACAUGGCACUGGACCAGAUCCAGGAUGAAAGGGGAAGCCGUUUUACAGAAGUCCAUAGGUGCCCAACAGAGAGUGGGAUUAGGGGCAGCUACUAUGACAGUCCAGAUCAGCUUCUCUUUUAAAUGAUUUUGAGCCUGGUUCUCGGUCAUUUGCUGGGCAAUGGCCAGUGAUAACCCUAAAUGUCAAAUCAGAAAGAUAGACACAACUUACAAAACAGUCAUCGCUGCCUUCCAUCCCAAGCUGGAAAAUGUCAUGUGAGCACCUUGCCGCAGCAAAAGCUUACUGGGGUGGACAAUACAGUGGUUUGAACUCUAAAUAAAUAAUCCAUGGUGUUCAUUAUCAGCAGGCAUAAUGCCAGUUAGUGCAUGGCAGUACUGAUUUCUCCCCUGUGUUCAGAUCCUCAAAUCUGUUGUGUUUUGCAAUGGAUGGAGGACGUUCCAGACAUUGCAGAGAUCUGGAUGAGUUGUCCAUAGCUCAAGGAAAUUCCCUGAACCUCAUCCCAAUGACUUUCCUUCUCUUUGCCCAUCUCACCCCCACACAUUAAUUCCUUGCCUUUUUUGAACAUUCUUCACUGGGUUGAGUGAUGAAAGGGAAAUUUUGCCCUGAAUGCCCAGCAUGUCCUUACUACUUGGGUUAGAGAAUGAGGAAAGAUAAUGCCAUGGAGAAUCUGUUCCUGACAGCCUUCUUGAGACUGAUAUUUUGGCAGUGCGGAAGUUGAGGAAUAACUGAAACACAUUUUCUUUUGCUAUACCCUGGGUGCUGACAUGUAUCUCGGAUUGCUACAUUCAGCAACUCUGCAAAACAUCCAGCAGCUGAUCUUUAAAGCAGAUUUGAUAGCAUGCAUGAUUUUGUUUUUGGUAUGAGGCAUUUGCAAAAGUUUCAAGGGGAGGAAUUCAAAAAGCACCAAUAUGCAGUCUUUGUUCAGUUGUGCUUUAGCUCAGACUGGGGCUGAAGGAGAUCUCACCAGCUCUAUGUUUUCCUCAAGAUAUAAAACCCUGGGACUGGAUGCCAUAAAGCAUCCUCACAAGUUCCCAGCAGUCUGUCGAUAUGCCAGAGUGCCCAGCCUUAGCACAGUGGGGCAGCAGAAGACAAACACCUUAGUAAAAGCCAGGAUGAAGGAAAAAAAAAAAGCCAUUUUAAAACAACAACUUUUUUUUUUUUUUUUUUUUCAGGCUAUCUGCAGAUAAAUGACCUCCCUUCUUAUAAUUAACGAAUAUGUGCAAUUAGCUUAAUCAGAUCUGUGGGAAGAAAAGCAGUCAGUGAGUCUCAAAAAAGCAGGUUCUGAGAAACUGCAGCCAACUUUUACUGGGACCAGCUAGAGACACUACAUCACAAACAGCAUGAGACCUGCCAAAGCCUUAUUUCUGUGAAAAAUGAUGUUUCAAUUUAGGCUCCUGUGUAUUGUAUUCGUUAAUCUCCCUCUCACUUGCUUACUCACUUUUUCUCUCUCGCUGUUUAACGUUGUAAGUAGAGGCAUGAAGAAGUGUUUCCUUGUAUUGAUAUAGACGCUGCAUUCUAAUUUUUCAAUGAUACAAAAUUGAGUUAAUCAGUCCAGUUUCCCAUCAUCCUCACUGUUCUUUGUACCUCUUGAUCCAAAGAGCUGAUAUUUCAUGAUACAAGACAAGAGCUGGUAGCUAGAAAAUAGGUCUUUCCUACAGGAAAGGUGAAUAGGACUAAAUUGGCUCUGCUUUCCUUAUGCAACAGGAAAAGAUCUUGAAAACCUUAGUUGUUUUGGGGGUGAAGGUCCUGAGAGACUGUUAGAAAUCCUGAUGAGGAAGCUGGGCUCAGAGAUCAGGACCUCCUCUCUAAAACAAAGUGGGAGCUGCGAACAGGACUAGUUCCCUUAACGCUUUGCUAGGGUGUUCUUGCCAGUAACCCUCUCUCUCUUAUUAUGUUGCAAAUACAGAUUAGUAGAGAAAACAGGGAAGGAGGAAACACACAUUAUGUCAGAGAGACAGCUUUUUAAUAGUAAUAUCUAUUCAAAUAGUUGUGAAGUACAAUUCUUUUCAAAAGCAGGAAAAAUCACUUUUUUAGUCACGCAGAGUAAAGAGCCAGCUCUGCAACAAGCUUGCCACCCCACAAACUGGGCUUGCAACUGGGCAAACUGGGUCAUAACCAAUUAUCAGAACAAAUUACCCUUAUUCUGCUGGUUACUUGUCAAGCCUUUUCUAAAGACAUUUUCAAGCAGGUCUUGAGCCACCUCCACAGUCAUGUGGGGGUUUGGCUUUUCACUGGAUGUUGCUCCAGAGAAGGAAGAGAUGAACGCCAAGUCACCCCAGGUCAGAGUCUGCAGGCUCUGCUGCCUUCUCAGCGCAGGACAUAGGGAUCACAUCAAUACAUCUCCCAGUUGCUUUCCUCUAGCUGAAUGGUUGCUCCUCAGCAUCAGGCCUGGGACCUCCACCCAUCCACGUUCACAGGUGAUGGUGUCCAGGUUUUCCUAUUUUUCUGUCACAUGAUCGUGACAAUCCAGUGAGUUACUGGAUUUUGCGGGGUGCUUUACCUCUACCCUACCAGUAGGUUGGAGAUGUGCUGACCUCAUCUGACUGAGGGCAAAUGCUUUCAGCUGGCCAGCAGAGCCACUACAACUGCAGGUGCUCAUAAGCAGCUAGGAAAUAGCACCAGAACCAGUCAUUAUUAUUAUCCUGAUUUGGAGGGAAUUCUAUUUUCUAAACAUUUCUGCCCCCGAGGUUUUUAGGCUUAUUUAUUGUUGGCAUUUUGGAAAACACUAAGAUUUUGAACUGUUUGUGUGAUCUUUGCAUGUAUCUUUUUCUAAAAUACUCCUGUUUGCAGCCAGUUGUGGGUUUUUUGUUUUUUUUUUGUUUACAAUUUUUCCCACAAGAGAAAAGUUAGAUGCAAAGUUCCCAAAAGUCGAGGUUUCCCUGCCAUUGCCUGUGAUUUCUUGUUGACUCCUAACAGAUUUCCACCAUUUGGUUAAGAGGGAAAAAAUCAAGGUUAAAAAUAAAGAGGGGGCCCUAAAAUAUCUGCAAACCAACAAUAGGAAACGGAUGUGUUUAUUUUUUGGUCUCUUUCCAAAAACCCAAGGGAGUUUAAGUUAAUGUUAAUACUUUAUGUUCAAAAUAUUUAUUAGCUUGGGUAAUGAACACAUUCUGAUAAUGAGCCUGUUGCCUCAAAUGUGAGACAACAAAUAAGUGAAACCCUGUCUAUUUUACAGCACAUAAUGAAUGUUUGCGUGCAAAAGCAAACCCUACUGAGGUGCAGUGCAGGGGCUGCAGCCCAGUGUAGUGGUUUGGGGGUGAGGUCCUAUGGGAUACCCAGCGAUUCACCCAGUGUGGCUGAGGCUGGUGGCUCCCCGCCAGCAGCAUCAAGGCAGAGAGAGCUGGAGACCAGCCCGAGUCUCUGACAAACCCCAUUGGUCACCUUCCCGACAAGAUAAAUGACAUUUUAAAUACAGAGAUGACCUCUGUAAUCAGAAAUAAAUCAGUGGGAUAAUCAAAAUUGAUGGGUGAGUCAAAUCUAGAAAAUUUAUAUAGUGGAGCCCUAUAGAAUAGCUUGGAAAUCCCCAUAAGUCGGGUCCUGGCUGAAAUUUUGGUCCCUUUGCUGUAGUAAUUUAAACUUUUCUAUUUACUUUGGCAUUUCUCUCUUCAGUGACUUGGCCUGAUUGAAAUGCUUUGUUAUAUCCAACAAGAAUAAAAAAUAUAAGAGGCGAAGGGUAGUAUCUUGGUUUAGGACAACUGUGAACAUGAAAUUUAAUCCUGGGCUUUGCAAGAGGGACUCCAGUACAUACUGGGGAGGAGAAAGCAAUUAAUACUGCAUUAAAAAAAAGAGCAGCCCUUCCUUUUCACUUUGCUUUUUAAUGUCCUGUAAUUUGGGCCAAACCAAACACUGCUUACGCCACUACUGAUGUUACAAGUUCAUGCACCGCCGCUGAUGUUAUGGACGUCAACAGAGCGGCCUCUGGAAAGGAAAAGGCAAGUGUAAUUUGUCCAGAGCGGGGACAAAAGGAGAGUGCAGAGCAAAGCUGGCUCUCCUAUUUUAUUCCCUGCUGUUAAUUGCUUUCUUGAUACACCCUUGCUUUUGUCCUUUUGACACGUACUACCAUCUCACGCAGGCUACCAGAGCUGAAAUUGCUCUAAGACCCAUUAUCCCCUAAACAAUCUUAAAUCUGCUGGCGCUGCUCUGACACUCUUCUAAAACCUAUUUACUGGCCUCAGUGCAGUUACUCCUGCUUCAUAUCAGUGCGAGGAGAGUAGAGCCAGGCCAACUCUCUGAUCUACUCGUGUCUGACAUGUGGCUUACACUGCUUUUGUGUCAAUCAAGAAUUUGGCCUUGAGAUCCCUACGCUCUUGGUUUGACUCAGGGUUUAAAAAAAAACAAACAUGUUUCAAAUCCAUGCCUUUCUGCUCUUCCUUUCUUUCAUCCUUUCCAGACUCUACUAGCCUAUUCUUCACAUCUGCAAACUCAACCAAAAGUCCUGGACCACGCACGGCCAUUUAUUGCUUUCUAUUGUACUCACUGUUGAGUUUACACUUAUCUGUCUUAUUAAAACAUUUUAGAGGGCUACUUUUUGUAGGGCUGGUAAAGGCUUUUACAUCAAAACUGCUUUCAAGUAGAAUUGAUUUUUAGCAAAUGAGAAUAGGUGUUUUUCAUAAAGGACAGUUUCUGUUUUCUACUGGUGAAAUACAAAUGCCUAAAAACUGUAUAUUGAGGGAGAUUCCAGACUCCACAGUUGUCACUUUGGUAACUGAUUUUCUUCCAGGGGUCUGCAGUGUCAUUGCGUGUUAUCUUCAAUGAUAUAACUCAUAAAGCUUCUUUCAACAGCUACAUAUGCAUCCUCAUGAGCCCAGGAUCUGGGCAGUGGGCAGGGAGUUGAACUUGGCAUGACUUGGCAGCUUCUCAGGUCCUCUGAUGGAGUUUUCAUUUCUGUCUUCCUUGUUUGGGACAAUUUGUUUAAGCAUGUAAUAAUAAACUUGGGAUAGGGCAGCUAUUUUCUGACCAACCUACUUGCAAAUUUUUAAAUCCCUUAAAUCACAUGAAGGCUACAGUGUGUAACUCGGGCAGGUAACUAACAAACAGUACCACCAGUAUUAAACGACUGAUAGAGAAGAUAGAGAAGCAAAGAAGUGAAGGACUGGGAGAAGGCUAUCAAAAGAAUCACAUAAUUAUAUUUUCAGUAUGUCCAUUGAAGACUAUCAAAGAUUAAAUCUGAGGAGUGAGGUAAGUGCUAGAUAUAAUACAUCAAAUGAAAGGAUCAUUCAUGAAAGGAUCAUUGACAAGUGUCAAAGAUCGAAGAUUAAAGGCUUACAGAGACUCUGGGAAACAGCUUAGGAAGAGUCUAAGAGAGAAAAACAGGCACUUCAAGAAAAAAACAAUAACUUUGCUUCCAUUCCAUGUGCAGGCAUAUACUUCAGUUCCUCGGUCUUCUAACAUGAAAGACUCCAUGCAACAAAGUGAUACUAGUCAGGAAGGACACAGACCAAAUGAGCAUGUUGCAUCCAGGUCUAAGCCAUCCAACCAUCCUUCUCUGAACAAGGCAAAGGACCCUUUGGGAAGGACACAUUAGGCACAGCCUCAGUAGCAGAUCUAGAUCAGGGGUCAUGGAACAAGGAAAGACCAUGGCACAUCUGCUGCUGAUGAAGGAGACAGGCUUUUAGGAUUGUAAUGUUCUAGCUUUCAGUCAUUCACUGUGGAGGUGUGCACUGUUAGCAGUGGGAUUUUCUCACUCUGAGACCAGACAUGGAUUCAGCUGCUGAAAAUGAAAAGAUUGGGAAUCAUUUCAGUCUGUUUUCUCUAGAAGCAACUGCUGCCUCCAAGCAAUUAAAUGAAAUGACUUCCUACUUAGGAUUUACCCAUUUGUGGUCUAAUCUUUUAAAAUAAUUGAGUAUGUACAACAGUUUACCAGUUUCCUACCAACCUUUUUCUUUCUUAUUACCCUUCACCAUUGAGUGAUUCACAUUCAGAAAUCUUGUGACAACUUUCUGCACUGAAAGAAUAUGAAUGCAUUUUCAGUUGUGUUGUUUUUUUUUUUCUUUUCUAUUUAUUUUUUUUCUCCCAGAGACCUACCAUUGUUUCAAGGAAAGGAUAUAGUUUGUAGCCUCAGGACUGCAAAUGACCUCCUUCCUCAGUGCAUUACCCAAACCGUAAAUGCAGCUUAUUUAGAAAUGGAUUGUACAGCAAUGCACACAUACAGAGUAGUUCAAAUUCUGGUUGUGCUCAGACAGCAGUUACUGCCACAGUUUUCUGGCUUUGCAUUAACUCACUGAGCAGAAGCCUUGGCUUGGUCAUAGCAUUUUUUCUCGUCUGAAAGAUGACCUGGUUAAUGGAGGACAAACUCUGGAGCUCCUCUUGUUCUUCCCUUUUCCCAUUCACACAUAUACACAUGUAUGCAUGCAUACAUGCAUGUAUAUAUAGAGAGAACACACAGGCAUAUGUAGAACACAUACAUCACAUAUAUGUACAUUUGCAUGCACAUAUCUUAUAUAUAUAUAUAUAGGCACAUAAAUGAAUUCUUGGUCUCUCUUCCAGUGUUAGUGCAUGUAAAGACCUGAAGGGGCAGUCUGCUUUUCUGAUGUAGUCAUGCCUGCUUUUAAUUCCAACAGUUCAGAAGAUAUCUCUAGAUUAUAUGUGGGGAAAGUAUCUACACCAGCUUCUUCUGGACAGACAAACUGGACAGACUCUUGCAUCUACAGCGCAAUGUUUUCCUUGGAAUAUAUAUUGUGCCCCAGGAAUAGGUGGUAUUCCUUCAUUCUCUUGAAGAAACAUACUUUUCCUUGGAGUCAAGGUCAAGAAUUACCUAUAAAAAAUAAUUUAAAAAAAAAUGGACAACAACAUGGUCUACAUUUUAAGGAAAUUAGGCACGUGCAAAAGAAAACAGUCACAAACCUGGUUCUUGCCUGGUUGACAACUGAUUUCUGCUUCUUUUAGGAGUUACGCACAUGCAGUAAAACUGUCAGUUCAAUAUUGUAAAACAACCCCAGCCCAGAGUGGCUUUCCAAAUUACCGUAAGUCACUGGGGUCAAGCUGCAAGUACGUUGAGAUGGAAGGAUAUUGAACCAGCCCUGGUGCCAGGGCUGCACCUGUGUGCAUUUGUCCCUGUGUGAGAAAUGCCAGGAGACCCAAAUUGCAUCGUGACGUACAAGCUAUUUCCACUCCCACAGUGAAGUACAGUUACAAGGCUAUUAGAGCCAGCCCAUGACCUCAGUGUCAUCACUGAAAACUACUGAAGUCAGAGCUUGCUCAUCACCUCAUAUUGCAAUUUACGUAGCUGCAAUUAGGCGAAGGCAGUUAUAAAAUAACUGACUUACCAAAUGACUAUGCAAGUUGUGAGGCAACUGGGGUGUGCUAUCUGCUGGGGCUGGUCAAAGUGGAGUUUGUCUCACAUUUGCCAGAAUAAUUGGAGGAUGCAGACAAAUGAUUUUAAAGACAGCAAAUUAAAAGAGAUCUAGCGGCCCAUUUUUCUAGGGAUGGAAAGAAGGCUUCCCAACAUUUGCACACUACUGCUCUGGGAGUUUUUCUGGGAUACAGAUCAUUAUCCAAAAAGGAAGAAAGCAAAUGUCCAGAGAACUGGAGCAUCUCUGCAUGAGAAGACAAGGAAAACUUGGAACUGUAAAAUUUUGUUUAUUAAUGGCAGUUCUGAGAAUUUUAAAAAAUGAAGUGGGAAAAAAAGCAACCCUUCAUGAAACAUUGAUUAUGCGCCAGUUCACAUAAAUCUCCUUGGCUACCAUGUGUUAAUAUUAUUCUUUUAAAAGACUAAUAGAUCCUGUUCUUGACAAGCACAAAGCCAGGAGGUGAGACUUUAUGCAGUAUUUUCAUUUUUUAGCCCACAAGAGGCAAUGAUUUUAUAAGAAUAUUAUUUCUCUGACCAAACCACAUUCUCUGUGUGAACCUCUGCAGAGAGCUUCCAUUCUCAGGAAUUCUCUGCUCCAUCAGACAGUGUGCAGAAGCAGCAUUCCUCCUUGUCCUUGUUCUCAGCUCUAUCAAGACAAAAUUAAUUUUCCUAAACCAAAUUUCUGUAGCCAACCUUCAAGUUUGCAUUCAGUUUUUACCUGAAAAUUCCUACACGCAAACCAGAUUGAAUCCGAGUACAUCACAAAGCUGACUGCUCAAACAGCUGAAGCACACAGAUAAAACGGUGAGCAGUAAAAAUGGAAUGGCAAACCUGAAGAAAAGACUGAUGAAGUGGAAACGUGGUUGAGCACAUCUGAUUUUGCUUCACUGCAUGGGAAACAUGGCCGAAUGGCCUUUUGAACAAGCAAGAGUCAACUCAUUCACAAAGAGCUUUGAAACUCUUAAUGUGGAGGCGUUUUACGGAACAUGUGGGAGAUGUACUGGGGAGAUUUGGUUCAACGCUUUCAACUCAGUUAUUCUAUAAAGCUCUAGGGAUGUCCAACGCUGUAAAAGUAGCCCACGGAGAUCUCCAUGUUCUCAACUUGUCUUCUGGAUGACUUCAAGGCAGGGGCAGUCAGUCCCAGAAGGCAGACACUAUCCUUAGCUGUGUGCUUAUCAGUCUGUACACAUUUUUUCUAGAACUUAGUGUUACCAGAUCCUGACUCAUAAGAAUAGCUUUGCUUUUUUGUGAAGCUACCAAAGUGUCCUGGUGUUAGCAUGUGUGUGAGUGUCCUGAUAAGGACAUGACAGUGUGUGGGAGGCCAGAGAUGGGUAAUGCCACUGGUAUGUAGAGUGGGGAAUUAGUUGUGUGUAUGGAACGACCUUUUCUUCCAUAGACUCUCCAAGACAAGAGGGCCAAGGAGAAAGAGCAGUGGUGACAGCUCAAGGUCCAGUCCACUCUACCAAAACUUUCCACCCUAAUGAAUGAAGCUAUUCACUAGAUUCUGCUUUCUACUUUGCUUCAGUACUGUUUUAAUCUUAAAAUAAAGAGCUAUCUCUCUGGAGAAUAACUUCGGCUGUAAUGCAGCCCUAGAGUGGAUAGUGGAUUUACACCAAGGCUGAGGCUGAUCUCCAUCUCUACUUGCCAGUAAGUUUUCAGAAGUUAGACCUUGAGUAGCAUGACUCUGAGAAGGGUUUAUGCUAUUUGGGACUUAGCCUGUUUCCUUUAAAAGCAUCAUCUUGCAGAAAGGAUUAAAAAAGAAGGCAAAAAACAUUGAAGUUGUUUCCAUACAGCAGAGUCUAAAACAGAACCACAUUUUAUGGAAUUUUUCACACACAUCCUCUCCCUCCCUUAAAUUUCAAUGUUCCCUUUUCUUCUGUUUUUGACGUAUUGCCACUGAGUGAAAUGAAAUGAGAAAUAGCCAGGGGCUUGCUCUGACAUUUUCUUCCCCACCCCAUUCAUCCAUCUACCCAGACUCUUCUCAGUUUUAAUUUUAUUAUUAUUUUUUUUAAUAGUAUGGAACAGCAGAAGGCAACCUUAGGAUGUGUGUAUCCAUUUGCUGUAACCCACUCACUUUGGUGAUCCUUGUCACCUUUCUUAUCAUACCAUCAGCAUUUUUUGGACCAUCUAAAGCUGAAAUAAAAAUCCUUUGCCUGCAGAUUCACUCCAGAUUGACAGGCAGGGAAAAAUCCGUCCCCAGAGUCUGAGAUCAAGAGCUUUAUGGUCUAGUCCUGCCUAAUUUUAAAGGGGUUUUAUAUAGCAGAAUUGGAAAGAACCAAGAGACACUCAGAGCACAUGUUCUGAAAUACCAAGAAUAACAAAGCAAAGGCUUAAUGAGUUCAAAUGUGUAUGUCUGCUGUGAGUAAUGAUGCUUAAUCCUGCUACAAAAUAAUUCCUUUAUAUGUUCUUCUGUUUUUUUAAAAUGCAUCACUGCUGCACAGGGGUCAUAAAAAUUACGAAUAUGUUUUCCCAUGGCAUGAGGCCAUAGCAUACUGUAAGGCACUGUGCUGGGCCAUUAUACACAGCCAGUAAUCAGAAACAAAUGUAUUAAGUGAGAUGAUGUGAUGUUACAUGAGAAAAGUGAAAAUAGAGCAAGAAAGUGUGAUAGACAGUGACUUGGACGGCAGUAUCAACUCUGAACAGCCCCUUUCUCUUCAGAAAUCAGAGGCUGUGCCAGAUGAAGUUAUUUUUCUAGAUCUAGAUCCUGGUCUAGAAAAUAAAUCCAAGCUUCUUGGAAGAAGAAAGAAAUUAAAUUUGUCUGAGAGCUGAAGUAGGCAAAACAAAACAACAGCACUUCCUAUUCAGAAAGAGAAAUACUGUGUGUUGGUGAGGGCGUUCCUCAUUAGGGGUGGUUCAGGCUGGAUAUUAAGAGAAAAUUUCUCUCAGAAAGAGCAGUGAGGCAGCCCAGGGAGGUGGUGGAGUCACCAUCCCUGGAGGUGUUCAAGAAUCGUUUGGAUGUAGCACUGUAGGACAUGGUCUAGAGUGGUCAAAGGCAUAGGUUGAUGGUCAGCCAAAAUUAUCUUCUUGGUCUUUCCAACUUUAAUGAUUCUAUGAUUCAAUAUGCAUUAGUCCAGGCUUAGCCAUUGUCUCAGAAAUGCAAAGGAGCCUGUCCCCCCACUCCUUCACCUCACAAACUUGUGACAAAGUCCAAGUAUCAGCUGUGACAAGGUGAGAGCUGUCACUGAAUAAAGGGCUCUUCUUUCUUUGGAGUUUAUAUUUCUGAGACUUUGCUCCAGUACUGCUAGUAUCAGCUUAAAAAUUAAACUUGACUCCAAUUAGGAGAAAUACAACAACUCAUUUGUCUGUUUGCCAGUGUUUAUUCUCUAAAUAAGAAAAAAAAAAAAAAAAAAAGCCGUUUGUGACAGCUGCUUUCAUUUCCAGGAGUACAGCAAGUAUCUUCAACAUCAAAGCUGGAUUUUAAUUUAUUGGCUUUACAGCACACAGAGCAAAAGGUCAAGUAAAAAGAACUUUCUUUAGAAAAAUUACAAUUGCUAUUAGAGUGCAUAUGGGCUAUUUGAAUAUUCCAACACUUUAUCUACCAGUCCCUUAGAAAGGCUUUUUGAAACCCCUAAAGCUCAGCUACUUGUACCCCAUAAGAGAUUUGCAGACUGGCCCAUUACUGUCAGGUAGAGGUGAGAGCAGUUGUCACCCCAGCAGCAAAGAAAGUUGCUUCCUGUUUCCCAGGUGUUAUAGUGAUGGGUCCUGAGGUCAAAGCAGUGCCCAGAGUUCCCUAAUUUCAUCCUCCAGUGUUUCUCUGUGGCAGGCCCAGCACACAAGGUCUUCAUUUGUUGAGAGUGAAAGCUGUAUCAGCCAUAGAUAAGACCAUCAAAACCUAACCAUGAAGAUAGCAGUGCAUAUAACAUCUCGAAAACAGAUUGCUUGGAUAAUAUUGCUUUCCUUUUGUUCCCACCAGAACAGGAAGAAUCAAUCAGCUUGAUUUGACCAGAGUACCAAAGCACCUGGACAAAUAAACUCUAUCUGAUUACUAAUAAUUAUCUUAAGAACUGCCUCAGCAGUUAUCUUAGAAAUUAUUCAGCUCCACUUAGAUCUGUAAAAGCAACAGUCGCUGCUUCCCUGCCUUCCACAGAAAACAACUGUCUGUUCUGCUGUGGAGCACUUGUUCCAUUUUUUUUUUCUGAAAUGUACAAAUAAUUGGUGCAAAUAGGAGAACUGUUUCUUUUCUGACUCUGUUUGUCCUUCACGAAACUACACAACUACUUAGAAUCGUAAGUAAAUACAGCUAGGAAUUUACCAUGAAGAAAAUCCAAAUGAAACUCUUUCCAGAUUCCAGCUAUCUUCCCCUGCGCUUGAACAAAUCCCCUCAGUGGAUGAACCCCUGUGCAUCUGAGAACUGCUGAGACCCUCAAACACAGGAGGUAAACCAUAUGCAUUGCAUGCUUGCUUUAAUGAAAUGAUUGAUUUAUUGGUCACAAAUUCCUCAAAAGAAUUUGUUUUUAUUCCCUGGGUUCUUAUCAGGGAGCUCCCCGCAUCAGUCAAAAUCAUGACUGUCAUUCAGUGCAGGACAGCACAAGUCAAAAGGCUUUCCCAGUGCUCCCCCAUUAGCAGGGAACCUUUCCCUACUGCUGGAGCACGUCCCCUGUUGGGGCACAGUUGUCCUCUCGUCCCAUAGCUGUUUCCUUCCUUGAAUAGGACGAGAGCCUUCCUAAUGGAGCUCGAGUGCAUUCAUGGCACAAUAGGUCAUUUCUGGCUUACUUGAUCUCUUUUCAGCUCACAGGACAAAAAGGGACAUGGUUACACCAUUUGCUUACAUUGGUAGGUAAAGAAAGUCUUAAACGUCGCAUGAGUCACUUGCACUCAAUUAAUUUCUGCUUGUGUUAUUUAUUCAUGUUUAAGAUAUGACUUUUAUUCUAUAUGUGACCUUCAGCAAUGGAGCUGAUAACAAGAACAUUGCUUUGGAAAAAUGAAAGGUUAAACAUUAACCAGAAAAAUAGUUCUAAGACAAACAUUUUGAAUGUUUUCUUUCGUCGUAUUUGGAAGUAACUUGUCACUUCCCCUCUUACUGCCUCCCUGACGUAACUGUUGUGCUGCUGCUCCUGACACAGAGAUUGGCAGAUGCAGUAGUCUCCAGGCUUUAUCAUUGUGAGAUGGACUCUUCCGAGACUACUGCAAAUCAGCCAGGUCUUUGAGCUGGCUGCAGGCGCUGGCUUAAUUAGCUUUGUGUUAAAAAUUUCUGCUCUUUCUCACUUCUCAAGAGGCACAGCUGAGAGAACAGCCUCUAGCACCAUGCUCUGAGGUUACAAAAGCAAAUCUACUCCAUGUCCGAAUGUGCCUGUGAAACCAACUGCAGUAAACCUUCAUGAGAUGAGACAGUGGAGUCACACAGACCCAGACUGAUGAAUCCUGCUGUAAUUCUGCCUUGUCCUGCACUCAUGAAAUGGGUUGGAUGUCCUUGAGGGCCAAGCCACGUCCUUGGCAAGAACCAAGUGCCUGCAGUUCUCUCCAAGAAGGGACAGUGCCCCUCCUGCUGCAAGCAACUCAACAACCCUUCAAGCAUUAAGGAGAAGCCCCGCUUAGCAGAGAUGCCAGCUGCUCUCCAUGCUGAGCCUCUUGUUCCUGAGCAGGUAGAUGGUGCAAGGCCCAUCACUCUGUGUGCACUCAGCUCAGGGCACAGCUGGAAAAUCCCACCUCCUGGCCAUUUCCCUGUCCGGGCGAAGACGCCAUAGAAGUUCUGGAUAUAUUCCAUCGCUGAUUGGGAAGCACACCGUUGGGUAAAGGGCAGAGCAACCUGCUGUAGCUGUUGGUGUCUCUGUUCAUCGCAGGGUGGUUGGACUAAAUGACCUUUAAGGUCAUCUUCCAGCUCAAACAGUUUCAUGAUUCUGUGAUUCUGAGCCCUGCCUAGGAGCAGCUCACACACAGCACUCCAUGCAGCUGGAGAAGUGCCCAGAGAUGGGACUUAGGAACAGAUGGGUGUGUGAUUAAGUCCAGCCCUUACUAUUGUCCCAAGUACCCCUUUGGCACCUCAUGCUGCUUUACAACUUCCUCAAGCCUCUCAGUGCCUUGUCCCGACCACCUAAUACUCCUUCCAUACAUUCCAAAAUGCAGCUGAAAUCUGGACAGCGAGAAACCUGAGCAGUGCUGUGGAGCCCCCAGUUAUUUGCAACACCUCGCAAUACAACCUAAGUGGGCGCUCCAGAAAGCGCUGAUUUAACUUUCCUGUCUCCCAAUCAGCUGGAAAUCUAUCAAUGUAAAAUAUCUUCUGGCUGAGUAAGAGCUGUUUCCAGCUUUCUGAGUAGCCUAGGAGAACUGAGCCGUGGCCUGGCUUCUCAUCCCAGCUCUCCUCACUCAAACUGCACAUCCAGCUCAAGGAGGAGGCUUUAGAUGUGUGCUAGCCCUUAAUCGUGCCAGCAGUGUCUUUGCAGUCACGGAGGACUUUAUGCUAAAUGCUUCUCUCCCACAGUUCUAAAAUAGUAACAUAGCAAGCAACAAAUGACUAUGGGGCUUCUCAAGCAGCAGAGUGCACACUGGUCCUGUCUCAAUAGAAAAAAAAAAAAAGAAGAAGAAUUUUGCCAAAGGUUUGAAUGGGAGAAAGAGCUUGUGGCUGACCACACAGCAAAGGGCUAUAUUUUUAUUUAUUUUUUUAAUGUCAAGUAAAUGCAAUUUAUAAGCCGUUGCCCACAGAGUUUUCUAUUCAAAAGUAGGUGUAGUAGGUCGAAAAUCAAGAGACCAAAAGGCACAGGUGACACAAUCUGAGCACAGGACCAUUGUGUUGGGCCCAGCCCCGCUGCCCCAGCCACAACACUGUGAGGAAGUGCCACACAAACAGAGGAAGCAGAAUUCGGGCCGAGAAGGAUUUAGUAACCGCAUUACUACGCUCUCAGCACUGAUGCCUGCAAAAGAUAAAACCUGGGAAAAGACCUCGGGUUCCUACUCCUUAUUGUUGCUACCGGGGAUUUAGCUUGUAUGUCUGAACUGUGUACAUAUUUCACUGGUCUAGGUGGGGCACCGCCAGCAUAUUUGUACGGGCUGGGACAGUGACAGGACUGCUGAUGUUUACAGUAACAGGUUAGAGGGACUUUGCCAAAGCAUUCUUAGUUUUUAAAAUGAUCGGGGCGACCUAGCCCCCUUCCCCCCCUCCAUUGUUACUUCAUCUGCGGGAUUUACGGAAGAAGGAAAUGGUAAAUUACAAGAAAAAAAAAUAGUAUUUAUCUUGCCAGGACAUGUUGCUUUGAACUCGGAUGAUAUUAACAUAUCAAUCAGAUUCAGUGAUACGUUAAACAAGGUUGUCCCUGGUUUAUGGUUCACUGAGUCUGGGAGCUGAACUAUGGCUUUGUAUUCCUCUGUCUGAAUCCUUCCCCAGAGCACACCACAUUGGUAGCCAGCACCAGGAGGGAUUUGUUUUGUCUUGUUGACCCAAAAUGAAGCCCAUUUCCAUUGAACUUCCAGUGAAUAUUUGCCCAGGAAAUGGCACAGACAACAAAAUGAAGAAAUACAUCUAAAGAAUCUUUAACUUCAUUUGUUUCUGUUUGCAAAAUGAUACUCCUCCGUUUUAUAAGCCAACAGUGAGAACAGAUACUGCUAAAUAAAUUGCAUAGUAACCAAAUAAGUAAUUUAAUAAACAAUAACAAUGCUCACAAAUAAAGUUAAUCCUCAGAGCUUUAAACAAAUAUAUAAAUUGAACUCACAAGUGUGAUCCUUUUCUGCGAGCUACAGUAAAAUCUGAAGGGGGUCAUAACCGUACCAUUUACUCUAGACAAGUUGCACGUGCAUUGCUGUUUGGAAAAUGGAAUCAGUUGUUGGAAAAGUACUUGUACUUACUGCACACAGAAACACUCUACAGUUCAUCAGCAGACAGACCCCAUCAGGCUCACUAUCCACUUUUUAUGCAAUUAGGUUUUACACUGACAAUGUAUUACAAAAUUAUUAGAAAGGGAGCUGGAGUUAAAAAUUAAGAUGACGCAAGUUCAAAGCUUGGGAUCACAGUUCAGCAAAAGCUCUCUGGAAGUGAAAAAAGAGGAAAACCCCAAACAAUCUGAUUUAAGAAAACAAGUUACUGCAGAAAAUGAAGUCCAGUUUCCUGCAGCUUUCUACCUUGUAGUUGAACUAUCCUAAACCUAAUAAGAUUUAAACUCUGAUUGAAAUUCUUUCUGUGGUUGAGGCCACUAUCAGCUCUUAUUCCCUCAGAUGUAGAUUUUCUGAUGGCAGUAGUCAUGUUUUGUUCCUAACAAUUUUUUUCACUCAGCUGAAAAAUAAAGCAGGCCUCUCCGCUCUUUUCAGAUACUACUUUUCACCAAGCAAGGAAUAAGGUAAUGUGUUGGGAUUUUUUCACUAAAUAGAUCGACAUUAGUCUCAAAAUUCAAAAGUUUUGGAGGAGUGAAAGCACCAUAAUAAUACACACUUCUGAAGGAAAGCACAUUAGAAGUCCAAGGAUCUUGUGUGCAUUUGCUCCUGUCUCUAAGUUUUCCCUCAUCUGCAGAUUUGUAUAUGAGAUGCUACGUGUAUCAUCAAGGUGCAUGUUCUUUUUAUAAGAACAACUGUGGGGAAUAGAAACCCAGCACAGUCAUGCCAAAAGAGGAGCUCACAGUAGACAAGCUACUUUAAGCAGAUAUAGCUGAAGCAGAAAAUAAGUGCUACAAUAAACAGAUUUCAAUUGUAGCAUCUUCAGGGAGUCUCUCAUGUUUUAUGUGAAUUUUCUUUCUUUAAGAAAAGAGCAAGAGAAGUGACAAUGUCUAAAAGGAUACAGGAGGACGCAUCUUCUGCUUCAGUUUUCCCUUAUGUCUGUAUUCUAGAAGA
Tympanuchus pallidicinctus (lesser prairie-chicken) is the source of this 17290-nucleotide long non-coding RNA. RefSeq lists it as uncharacterized. The record is from RefSeq and is a predicted model, not a curated record. Lineage: Eukaryota; Metazoa; Chordata; Aves; Galliformes; Phasianidae. The transcript has 5 exons.